AACGCGAAGAACCUUACCAAGGCUUGACAUAUACCGGAAACGGCCAGAGAUGGUCGCCCCGCAAGGUCGGUAUACGGGUGGUGCAUGGUUGUCGUCAGCUCGUGUCGUGAGAUGUUGGGUUAAGUCCCGCAACGAGCGCAACCCUCGUUCUAUGUUGCCAGCACGUAAUGGUGGGAACUCAUGGGAUACUGCCGGGGUCAACUCGGAGGAAGGUGGGGAUGACGUCAAAUCAUCAUGCCCCUUAUGUCUUGGGCUUCACGCAUGCUACAAUGGCCGGUACAAAGGGCUGCGAUACCGUAAGGUGGAGCGAAUCCCAAAAAGCCGGUCCCAGUUCGGAUUGAGGUCUGCAACUCGACCUCAUGAAGUCGGAGUCGCUAGUAAUCGCAGAUCAGCAACGCUGCGGUGAAUACGUUCCCGGGUCUUGUACACACCG
RNAcentral lists this ribosomal RNA (433 nucleotides) under uncultured bacterium. RNAcentral's name for it is "bacterial SSU rRNA". It matches the Rfam family "Bacterial small subunit ribosomal RNA", at positions 958 to 1392 of the family's 1533-position model. The record is from RNAcentral.